GGAGGAGUGGCCGAGCGGUUUAAGGCGGCGGUCUUGAAAACCGUUGAACGAAAGUUCCGGGGGUUCGAAUCCCUCCUCCUCCGCCA
Molecule: transfer RNA, 86 nt
Filed under: Myxococcota bacterium
Lineage: Bacteria; Pseudomonadati; Myxococcota
Description: tRNA-Ser
Rfam family: tRNA
About the family: Transfer RNA (tRNA) molecules are approximately 80 nucleotides in length.
Source: RNAcentral